ACCGCGAUAGCUCAUCUGGUAGAGCAUCUGCUCGGUAUGCGGGGAAUCGCCAGUUCGACUCCGGCUCGCGGCG
RNAcentral lists this transfer RNA (73 nucleotides) under Fasciola gigantica. It matches the Rfam family "tRNA". From Rfam's summary of the family: Transfer RNA (tRNA) molecules are approximately 80 nucleotides in length. Lineage: Eukaryota; Metazoa; Platyhelminthes; Trematoda; Plagiorchiida; Fasciolidae. The record is from Rfam by way of RNAcentral.